CCCUUAGAUGUUCUGGGCCGCACGCGCGCUACACUGAUGAAUUCAACGAGCUCCUAACCUAGGCCGAAGGGUCCGGGUAAUCUUUGAAAUUUCAUCGUGAUGGGGAUAGAUUAUUGCAAUUAUUAAUCUUCAACGAGGAAUUCCUAGUAAGCGCGAGUCAUCAGCUCGCGUUGAUUACGUCCCUGCCCUUUGUACACACCGCCCGUCGCUCCUACCGAUUGAAUGGUCCGGUGAAAUGUUCGGACCGCGACAAGGCGGGCGGUUCGCUGUCAGCUUUGCUGCGGGAAGUUCAUUAAACCUUAUCAUUUAGAGGAAGGAGAAGUCGUAACA
Molecule: ribosomal RNA, 330 nt
Filed under: uncultured eukaryote
Lineage: Eukaryota
Description: partial 18S ribosomal RNA
Rfam family: Eukaryotic small subunit ribosomal RNA
Source: RNAcentral